UUUCCAAAUCACAAUUUUGUAUAAUAAUCAAUCAAAGUUUUGUUGUAUCAUUGUUCUCAAGCACAUAGCAUUUGCAAUUAGCCACAUAAAGUCUAAGGCUAAUAUUAAAUCACAAAUUCAUCAGCAACAUAAGUCACAGUCGCAUGACAACUCAACCGAUAUUAAAUUAAUUAAAAUUCAACAUUAUAGGCAAUAUUGUUGCACCACGAGGAUUUACUGGUAAUUUCAGCAGCAUGAAUAUUUCUUCUGCACACAUAUAAUACAAAUUAAAAGAAAAAAAAGUUGUAGAACAGAAUAAUAUCGGUGUUCAAAUCAGAAAGAACUAGUGCCAAUUGCAUAACAUAAUAACAUCAAUGUUCAAAUUAGAAAGAACCAAUGACAACUGCAAAUAAAAUAACAUCAAUGUUCCAAUUAGAAAGAAUCAGUGACAGUUGUAGAACAGAUUAACAUCACUUGAUAAAAAAUAUAAAAUACAUGAUAUAUAACCAAACUAAUUCAACAACAAAAUUUGUAGAAAAAUACCCCAAGAGUAGUGAGAAAUUUGCUUCAGCUUUGUUUUGUUCUCAUAGCAGUGAGACUCCACCAUGACAUCUAUGUUUCAAAUUUAAAACAAAUAGUUAUAUCAAGUUUUCAUAUGCAUUGCAUACCCAACAAUUGAAUUGUAACAAAGUUGCAAAGAUUAACUUACACAGGUUUCUUUUGUCAAUUUUAAUCCAAUGCCACAAAAUUAGAAGUUGAUGCAAAGAUAUGGUAAGUUGGUCCAAUGCCACAAAAGUAUGAGUCAGGUGGUUUGUAAUUUAUUAUAUUGACAAGUUAUACAGUAAAAUGACAAUCAAAUUAAAACUUACAAAUACAUCCUCAUUAGUGCAAACAAUAGCA
RNAcentral lists this long non-coding RNA (879 nucleotides) under Cicer arietinum (chickpea). RNAcentral describes it as "long non-coding RNA (CARI_LNC000486)". Lineage: Eukaryota; Viridiplantae; Streptophyta; Magnoliopsida; Fabales; Fabaceae. The record is from RNAcentral.